CAGCUGAAGAUUUGAAAUUAAGUUCUCUGAUGAGGAUAUGGAGUGCAAGUCUCUGUACUUGAACCAAUCACAUAGAAAAUGAGUUGAAAUUAUUCUUACCAAAAAUUAAUCAACUGAACUCUGUAUAGAAAGUCACUCUACCCCUCUGCAAAAAGGAGCACUCGAAGAAAGAUUUUUCUCAGAAAAGUCCAGUGUAUGUUCAUACCUGGAAAAAGGAGACAUUGAAGCCCCAUGGUCAUUUUGUCCUGAAAGUUUUCAAAGCAUCUGCUACCAAUUGCAGGUUGUGGUUAUGAAACUAUUUCAGUUAUGCACUCAUAAAGUCACUGACUUUAUUCCGUGUAACUUCCUGAUGAAUGCCUCAGGAGAAAUUCGUUUCAUGAUGUAACCCUUCGAAACGAAUUGACCUUCCAGUAGGGUGUUUGGAUAUGAACCUGCUACAUGUUGCAAGACACUAAAAUAAUUGUGGUUUUAGAAGAGCUCAUCAUAAGCCAUUCUUUCUGAGAGCAUUUAGAUAGCAAGUCCAGUAAAAUUAAAUUUAUGGAUAUGUCCUCAGGCAAAUUAUUCACUUAACCUCACAAGCCUCAGAUUUCUCAUCUGUAAAAUGAAAGGAUUAAAGCAAUGCCCUCUAGAGUCCUUCAGGCUCUUGUGUCCUAAGAUGCUCUAAGCAAGGCAAAUCAUGUUUUAACAGUAGCAAAUACCAAACCCCAAUUAUUAUUCACUUAAAUGGCUGUUGUUAGGUAGUCAAAGGGUUUUUUCCUUCUUCUUUAAUUGUAGAGAACAAAAUUGUUCAAUAUGAAUUUCCUCAAAAAGACUGAAUGAUAACUUGUAAGAGAUUCCUUCAGAAAUCUCUCUCUACUUGGACUGACCUGAACCUCAGAUGAAAAGGAUCCACCUGUGCCAGACUUUCUAACGGGGUCUAAUGAGCAAACACAGCCAGGGGCACUCACCGUCAUAAGCAUUCUUGAGUUUUUACAUCCUUUGGAAAAAAUCGCUACCAUAUAUUAAGUGGUAUGUGUGCAUUACUUUCUUUAAACCCAGCAGGAAGAAAGGCAUUUUUUUUGUCCCAUUUCACAGAGGAGAAAAUAGAAGUUAAAGUGCCACCAAGCCAGAAAGUGGCGGAGCUAGGUCUCAUCCCUUGUCUUUCCAACUCCAAAGCCCACGUUCACAGGCAGUGGGUGAUACAGCAUUUUUGUACAUGGCCCCCAAAUACUGUUAACAGCCCGUUGUUUCCUACACUCCUGUGUAACUUUUCUUGGGGCAGAAACGGAAAUGUUCUCAACAUAAAGGAGCUAUAAAUUACUGCUGAGCCAACGAAAAAAACCCACAGCAUUUAUCAAGCCAAGUAGGGAUCUUCCAGCCCUGUUGCCACCACAGUUAAAAGUGCAAAGAAAUCAGCCUUGCCUUAAAUCAGAGGUUCUCAAAGUUCAGCCCCCAGAAUGUCUAAGGGUGGGAUCCAGCCAUUCUGGGCUUCAACAAACGCCCCCCCCCCCCCCCGACAAUUCUGAUGCGUAUGUUUAAAUGAAGCGGAGAGACUAAAACCACCUCUCUGUCCUCCGCCUUAAAGCUGACUGACCUGCAGAAACGAUAAAAGAGAAUAGACAGUCCUCGAGACGUGGCUGCGGGCUAUUCAGUCGAGCUGAAAAGCAACACCCUGCUACCGACUCGGCCAAUCAAAUAGGCCGCUAGUCCUGAGAAGGCUGGCGAGCAAGUGGAAGUGUCUAAAGGACCAUUGCGCCAGGGCCAGGGAAAGAGCCCAUUCACUGGACGGGCUCCUUCCAAAACUCAGCCAUGCAGGAAUAGGCUUUUCAAAUGUGUCUUUGCCGAGAUAACACAUCUGUAUCAUCGUUAAGGUUCUUUCAAGCCAGAGGCUUGGUUUCCUCUGAUGGGCAGAACAAGAGCACACACUUUUUUUAAUGUGUCAUGAUCGACAUUUACAAUAAGCCGGUCCCUCUAGGGGGCGCUUCACCCACAGUCCCUAAUUUCCCUCUUGCAUCACUGUGCGGCCGAGAUUCCUGUCUUCACUGUGCAGGUGAGAAAACCGAAGCUGGACAGCGCGACCUAAGUUGUGGACCGGUGCGCGCAUUUCAAGGUCGAGGAGCCUCUGGAGACGGUAAGUUGGCUGAGCAUUAUCUCCGUCCUCCUCCAGCUCCAAGGCCAAUCCCUUCUUUUCCUUGACUCAAGACAGACCGUCAGACAGUCAGCCAGUGCUCUCAGCCUGCCUUCUCACCGCUCCCACUCUUCCUAAACCCCACAUGGCUGAUUUUAAGGCCAGUUUCUGCAGGCUCUAGCCCCCCGUCUCCCAGACAGCUGCCCUAUGAAGGCUGUUGAGACUCACAUGCCCCUGGCUGGAGGGGACAGGGAGACCAGCAGGGGAGGCCGUGACAUAACAGAACCCAGGAAACGUGUCAACAGGGACCCUGAAUAGACAGGUACUGAACAACUAGAAAUACUCCUGGCCAACGGGGAACCCAGGACAGGUAUGGUGGUUUAUAAGCAGCUUGUUGUAGCUGCGUCACCCCACAUAGCAAAACAGCUGGUGUGCGAAUUACAAACAGGUUUGAUGAACCUUGUGUGCUGUUUUCUUAGAACGGUGACUCCUCUACCAUGGUGACAAGGCUACACCUCAGAGUUUGCUGACCCCCGGCCCAGUUUCUGCUCACUCUUAGCCGGAGGGCUCAUGGGCACUACUGUAAGUCCCCCGACAGGGACCGUAUUUCCCCCCCAUGGUGUAUGCAUUUCGAUGCAAAAAUGGGAACAUUCCCUUGGUGUGGUCAUGGACAAACAUUGGUACCGACUCGGAAACUUGUUCCGCUCCUAGCAGCCCUGUGUCUACCUUAGAAGCUCCCCUGGUUGGGUGGAGAGACCCCCUUCCAUGUGCGGCUACUGGCUCCAUAUUCCCAUCACUGACCGCGGGAACCACAGUCACGGGCCGGUGGCAGGCAGGGACUUCUUUGCUGAGUUUCCCCGUCCCUUUCCCACUUCCUCCCAAACGCCCUGUCAGCGGAGCCCUUCCCACUUCACAAAAAAUGAAAUAAUAGCUGAUGCGAUUUAAGUGCUUCCCGCAGGCCAGGCGCUGAGCUGAAAGGGAUUCUCAGCCAUGUCUCACACGAAAGCCUGGGAGGUGGGUACCACUCUUCCCUGCAUUUCACCAAGGGGGGGACGAAGGCUCUUAAGUCAGAGGGCGGCAGAUGGAGCGGCAGAGCCAGCUCUUUGACCCGGGGACCUCGAGCCCCAAAGCCCUGCUCCUGAUUCCGGCACUGAGCUCCCUGGUAAACUACGACCCCCCUCGGCCCUACCAGCAUUUAACACGGGCGGCAGCAGAGGCUUCUCCCUUCUGCACCCGAGACGAGGGUAGCUUCUCAAACGCAGUGGACACUCUACUCAGGCGCCCUUUGCCCAGGGAAGCUCUCCUCUCCUGCUCUGCCUGGACCUCAUGUGGCGCCACCAUUCCAGUGCCUCCAGGGUGAGCGGGGGCCCUGGCUGGUCUCACGGUUGGUGGAGGAAUGAGGGCCUCGCCUGUUCUGCCCCCAGACUGCUCAGCUCCCCCUCAGAAGCUGGGCUUUCCAAAGCAGCCUUCCAAAGUCACUUGCUUGAAACUCAGGACACAUGCACAUGUUGAAAGGACGAGGAGGGACCCAAGGUAGUCUACAGCUAAUCGCUUGUGCCUAUAAUAGGAGUAACGGCUAGAGCAGCCCAGGGCCACGUGGGGUUGCUGAGGACCCUAAAACCCUCUGAUGCCAGGCCUUCUCACGCCCCUUAGUCCCGGGUCAGUGCAGUAAGAAUAUCGGCUGGAGUGCGGGGGCAUCUGCCUUGCUUUGGACCCGACUUUACCAUCGUAUUAUCUCACUUGACUUUCGCAGCAGCUCUGGACCGGAGGCACGAUGAUUAGCCUCGAAAACCCAGGCACGUAGAAGCUAAGAGACGUCCAAGGUCACAGAGGACACAAGCAAAGAGGAGCAGGAACAGAGCCCAGUCUGUGCCCCAAACCCAUGUGACCAACAGUUUUCAGAUGCAGAACUGCUGCACUGCGAAGCCAGCUGACCUACCCAAAUCGCCUGCCAGGUGAAAGCCCUGGUCUGUUGGACGCCUGGAGCCCAGUUCUCCCCGUCAGGCUACCUGCUCUCCUGCUGGCUCCGCAAGUUCUCCCUGGGCCCCGACGCCGCCAGGCCCAGGCUGAGUGCGACCAGUUCUGUUGCUCGGGCUGUGAGCAUCCACGUGCAUGGGGGAGACGGACGGUAAACAAAGACCACAAGUGUCCCACGCGCACAGAGAAGAGCCGUCACCACACAGCAGUCGAAGGUUCAGGCCCCGGAGCACAGCUGUGUUGGAAGCCAGAUGAAAGAGCGUAUAAGCCCAGUUACAGAAAACUCGAGGAAGUCCCCAGUGACCUUCAGUGACAGAAGCAGCCACGAUCGCCCGGGGACCGGGCAGAGGGAGUGGGAAGGGCUGGCCGCGGAAAGGAGGCUCCCAGAGGCAGAGGAUGCUCUGGGGGGGACCCCCCUGCCGGUGGUGCUGGAUGUUGGCAGGUGUGUGCACCUGUCCGAGCUUCUCAUGUUGUGUGCAUUUGUCGUGGUCAGUUUCUUGCUUAGCAACUCAAUAAAGCUUUUUCUCUUUGAAGAGAAAAAUUA
Molecule: long non-coding RNA, 4628 nt
Organism: Phacochoerus africanus (Common warthog)
Lineage: Eukaryota; Metazoa; Chordata; Mammalia; Artiodactyla; Suidae
Exons: 2
Source: RefSeq, a predicted model, not a curated record